Molecule: non-coding RNA, 46 nt
Filed under: Trichobilharzia regenti
Lineage: Eukaryota; Metazoa; Platyhelminthes; Trematoda; Strigeidida; Schistosomatidae
Source: RNAcentral
GUACUGCUGAACAGUCCCAGACUAGGACGAAACAGCUGUCCAGUAA